UGGCCCUGUGGCCGAGUGGUUAAGUUCACGCCACUGUAGGCGGCCCAGUGUUUCCUUAGUUCAAAUCCUGGGCACGGACGUGGCACUGCUCAUUAAACCACACUGAGGCAGCGUCCCACAUGCCACAACUAGAAGGACUCACAACGAAGAAUAUACAACUGUGUACCAGGGGGCUUUGAGGAGAAAAAGGAAAAAAAUAAAAUCUUUAAAAAGGUGGGAAAAGCAUUUCUGAUGGAGAGAGCAAGUUGUACAAAGGCUUGGAAGCAUGAGACCAGCAAAUAUGAGAAACUACAAGGAGCAUAGUAUGACCAGGGUAGUGCGCCGGUGGGCUAGAAAGGCAGGCUGGAAGCAGCUGAGGGGUUUGAGUUGGUUGUGAAAGGGAUGCAGGUGUCCCUGGCAGGUGGAGUGCCUCUGUCUCAUCCUGCGCCGCCUCCAUCUUGGUCCUCACUGCACCCCAGUGUCGGCAGCCGUCUCAGGGCUGUGAGUGACCCAGGCCUGGGAUCAGGGCCCUUCUUGGUUCCCCCAGCACCUGGUUCAGUGGCUGGCAUAUUUGUUCAGGAAAACAACACCUUCAUUGCGUUAUCCUUGAUGGCAUUAAAUUUGAAUAAUUGUUUGCUAAAUAAAAGAAUGAGUCAUUAAACAUUUUCAAAUGAGGGGUAAAUACCAGAUUGUCACUUGAGGAACAAGAGCAUCAGAACCGCUCCGGCCGGCUCUGCACACCAUGCUUUAUGGACGUGAUCAGUGAGCCUCGAAGCAGCCCGCAGUGCAGAGCCUCUGCCCUCCACAGAGAAGGAGCCUGAGGUUCACGUGGAUUAACUCGUCCAAGACCACAGGGCAGGUGGCAGCUGAAGACUGAGAUUCAGAGAGGUCAAGCAACUCACCAUAAGUCAUACAGCUAGGAAGGGAGCCGAACCUAGAUUUGAACCUGGAUCUGUGUAACUCCAGAGCCUGAAUGCUUAACUACUAUACAAACUGCAAUCCAUGUGGCUUCGUGAAUCCAUUCUUUCCACAAACAGCAUUCCAGGAAUGUUCAUUGAGUGCUUACUAUGAACCAGGCAUUGUACAAGGCGAUGAGAUUCAACAGUGGAAAAGCAAAGUCCCUCCCCUUAGAGGCAUAGUCUGGUGGGAAACAGACAUCAGUCACAGAAAUCUCACACACGUUAUAAUUACAGACCCUCCCAGAUGCUCUGCAGGGAAAGUGCUGCAGCGACAGAGGCAUUGGACGGCAGGACCUGGACUUGCAUGGGAGUCAGAGGGGAUCCUGCCAGGAAGCAGUCUCUUGUAAAGGCUCCUUCAGGCAGUGUUUUAGAAAACCAGAACGAAGGCCAGCAUGGCUGGAGCCCAGAGAGCAAGCGAGAGUGGUGCAGGAUGGGAUGGAGAGUGGACAGGGACCAAAUCAGUCAGGGCCCUGUAGGCCAGGGCAUGGGACUUGGGAUUCACAGAGAGCGCACAGGAAGCUUUUAAAGGGUUUUCAAUAGAUCUGGGAAUUCAGAUUUGCUCUUUAGAAAGAUCACUCCUGCUGCUGUUGGGAGACCAGACUGGAAGGGGCAGUGGGUGCCGUGGUCCAGAGGAAAGGCGACGUGGCUUGAGUGGGAUGGUAGUGACGAGGGAAGGAAGAAGUGCAGGAUUCAGGAUACGGUUUCAAAAGUGAGGCCAACAGGAUUGGAUGUGGGCUGCAAGAGAGAAGACCCGAGAGUGACUGGGACACCUGGAUGAAUCUGGGUGCCUUUACUGAGAUGGGGAAUGCUGCGGGAGGAGCAGGUUUAGGGGAGAAAUGGGAGUUUGCUGUUGCUGAGUUUGAGGUGUCUAUAAUUAUCCAAGUGGAGGGGGAGAGCUGUUCUCAUCUCUGUCCCCAGAGGAGGCACAAGAUAGGUGCUUAUUAAAAACAUCUUUAGAUAAAAGCUUGCACAGAUGGCAGAGUUUGAGUCCAGUCUUGAAGCAUGGAUGGGAUUUGGCCUUGAGAUGAAGACAUUUUGGUGCCUGAGCUCAAAACAAAACAAAACCCAAACAGAACAGUUGGAGCACAUGAAGGAACAAGGACAGACUGCGACGUCGCAGUGGCCUGGGGGCGCCUGCUGUUGCUGCUCACCAAGGCUUUUUGCACCUUUGCCUGUAACACUGAGCCGUCCUCUGCAGAGCGUGAGAAGAAAUCAGCUAGAAAGAAAAAUUAUGCUUGUGUUAAGCGGAGGAUUCCAGGGUGUAUUUGUGGGAAGAUUAGCCCUGAGCUAAUAUCUGCUGCCAAUCCCCGUCUUUUUGCUGAGGAAGACUGGCCCUGAGCUAACAUCCAUGCCCAUCUUCCUCUACUUUCUAUGUGGGACGCCUGCCACAACAUGGCCUGACAAGUGGUGCCAUGUCCGCACCUGGGAUCCGAACCAGCGAACCCCGGGCCGCCAAAGCAGAACACGCACACUUAACCACGGCACCACCGGGCUGGCCCCAGCCUUGUGCUGGGAGCUGGCGAAAGGGAAGCUCCAGGGAAGCGUCCUCAAGCUAGGAGCACGGCAUGGACUUUAUGCCAUGACAACAGUUUUAUGUCCAAAUCCUGCCUCCAUUGCUAGUAAAGUCCAU
Molecule: long non-coding RNA, 2568 nt
Organism: Equus caballus (horse)
Lineage: Eukaryota; Metazoa; Chordata; Mammalia; Perissodactyla; Equidae
Source: Ensembl